UGUUAAACGGCCGCGGUAUUUUGACCGUGCAAAGGUAGCAUAAUCAUUUGCCUUUUAAAUGGAGGCUGGUAUGAAUGGCAAGACGGAAAUUUGACUGUCUCUCUUUUAGAAUCUUGAACUUGAUGUCUUUGUGAAGAAGCAAAGAUGAAUUCGUAGGACGAGAAGACCCUAUUGAGCUUAAGUUAAAAAUUACUGAUAUGUCAAUUUUGUUUUAGGCUAAUUAAAGAAAUAAAUUUAGUUUUACCUUAAAAUAAAAAGAUGUUGUUUAAUUGAUACUUUGGUUGGGGCAAUCGCGGAGAAUAUUAAUCCUCCGUUAUAAGUUUGAAAUAAAAGAUUACUAUUUUGAAGUAAUAAGCAUAUUAUAUAAAAUGAUCCACUUAUUUAGUGAUCAAAGGAAUAAGUUACCAUAGGGAUAACAGCGUAAUUUUUUUGGAGAGUUCAUAUUGAUAAAAAAGUUUGCGACCUCGAUGUUGGAUCGGGACUUCCAGGAGAUGCAGCAGUUUCCAAGG
RNAcentral lists this ribosomal RNA (509 nucleotides) under Thrissacanthias penicillatus. Its description in RNAcentral is "partial 16S ribosomal RNA". It matches the Rfam family "Bacterial large subunit ribosomal RNA", at positions 1921 to 2570 of the family's 2925-position model. The record is from RNAcentral. Lineage: Eukaryota; Metazoa; Echinodermata; Asteroidea; Paxillosida; Astropectinidae.